UACGGAGGGGGCGAGCGUUAUUCGGAAUUAUUGGGCGUAAAGGGCGCGUAGGCGGCCCUGCAAGUCAAAGGUGAAAUCCCUCGGCUCAACUGAGGAACUGCCUUUGAAACUGCGGGGCUUGAGGCCGGGAGGGGGUAGCGGAAUUCCCAGUGUAGCGGUGAAAUGCGUAGAUAUUGGGAGGAACACCAGUGGCGAAGGCGGCUACCUGGACCGGUUCUGACGCUGAGGCGCGAAAGCGUGGGGAGCAAACAGG
RNAcentral lists this ribosomal RNA (253 nucleotides) under uncultured bacterium. RNAcentral describes it as "partial 16S ribosomal RNA". It matches the Rfam family "Bacterial small subunit ribosomal RNA", at positions 524 to 776 of the family's 1533-position model. The record is from RNAcentral.